Molecule: long non-coding RNA, 2079 nt
Organism: Pogoniulus pusillus (Red-fronted tinkerbird)
Lineage: Eukaryota; Metazoa; Chordata; Aves; Piciformes; Lybiidae
Exons: 8
Source: RefSeq, a predicted model, not a curated record
GUUCCUUGUCUCCUUCCAGCUAGCGCUGGCCCUUGUCCAACAUCUAUGUGAGCUGUUCCAGCUCACUGACCUGUCAAAAGGUCAGUUGACAGCGGCCUUGGGAGUGCCUUGUGAAACUGCAGCACACAGCUUCUCCUCCAUCAUCACAGCCUUGCAGAGAAGGAUGGAAGGCAGCAUCUGGACUGCAUCUAAGUAAUGCAGGGACAUCCUCCACUAGACUAGAUUGCUUAUGGCCUCAUCCAACCUGGCCUUGGACACCUCGGAGCCUGUAUCAAACUACUGCAAGUUUGGUUAAGGAAGGAUCAAGUGCAUCUGUUACACCUGCCCUGCCAGCUCCUCCGUCCUACUGCCCUGACAAGGCUAUCAGUUUGGAGCAACUGCAAACCUUAGAAACAGAUAAGACUCUUCAACAAUUUCAGUAAUUUCUUGGAUUAAUACUGGAUUAAUUUAAUCUCUGAAAAAGCAAUGACUCUUGAUACAAGACCUUGUCACUCUAAGCUGAUCUGGCAGGUUCAGACAUAACUCACAUAAGCUGGAACAUUAGAGCUUAUUUCGGAGAGAGAGGCUGAGAUCUGCAGAAUUAGCACAGAUUCCUGCUACUUGAGCUAAUGGAGUGCCACUUACCAGUUGUGGGUUGUCAUCCUCUGAGUAAAGCACUCCCAGAAGAGGACUGCCAUUGGGCACUGGUGAGAAACAUGAACCAAGGAUUUGCUUCUCUGCUGGGGUAACUAGCAAUCAGCACUUGCAGGUGCCACUGAGCUGGUGACGACCACAGGACUGCAGCCUGAAGAUAGGAGGACUGAAUUACAGCUUUGAAGACCAAUGUCAAGAGGAAGAAAGUAUGUGGGGAAAACAUGGUAUGAAAAUGAAAGAAAAACAUUAACCAACGCAUCCAGAACCAUGAGAAAUGUUGGAGCGCGACAUCAUAUGCCAGUGGAAUCCAAAUGACAAAUGGCAAAGGUCGAGAUUGUGGUCACAAACUGUGUAUCUAAACAGAAGGCAAAAUGCUGCAAGAAUAACACUUCAUCUAGGAUUUAACUAAUUGAGAUUUCCAGAAGAUGCAGAGGAUUUAAUAAAACUCACAUAUCAUGAACAGAAAUAACAAGUAGCAUAGCAAGUUAUUAAGAUCACUGUGAGUGUGGAAGAAGAGAGAUGAAGCAUUCUCAUCUUCUGGUUGUUUCCUGAAGCUAAUCAACAUGAUUUUCAUGCUUUCUAAACUGACUCCGUGAACCUUGUCAGCAUCUUAAUUUUUUCUCCGUUGCUUUGUCUUAUCCCCGUGAAACGCUAGAGAACUCAACAAGUCAUAGCCUGCUUCUGACAGAAGCUACACAAAACUGGCAACUGUUUCCAGACUGAAGAUGGUACAGCAUGCAUUGCCCCAUUGUUAGUUUGUCUAUAUCUCCUUUUAUAAGCAGCCCCAAGCCAGUUCCACCUGGGGAGCUUACUGGACAAAUGCAGUGCAACUGUGGCCCAGAAGCAGUGCAGCCCAGGUGAGUAUAAUGGGGUGCAGCAAUUUUCAUUAAUUGUUUCCACAUUUUAUGUAAUUGAUGCAGUUAAAAGGUUUUUCUUUCACCCAGAUCUUCCUAUACUGCAUGGCAGGUUAUCUUGGGAUGGAUUUCUAUUCCUCCCUAAUGUUUUUUGUUCGUGGUGUGAGUACUCCUGAUGUAGAAUGCCACCACUGAUGAGAAGGAAAGCAAGGCUCAACAUUAGAAUUCAAGUUAUACAUGUUCAAAAAUGUAUUUAAAGUCAGAUGUUGUUCAGAAGCCAUGUGACACAGACUUUACAGUGCCGUUUAUAUGAGCUUAGCAAACAAAUUCCAAGGGGAAAAAAACAACCGGCAGAAACCACAAUCAUGCAAUUUUACUUAUUUUUGGGAUCCUGCCUCAUGGGGAUCACUAUUUCCAAGAAAAUGCCUGCUCAGAGACUUCGUAGAGUGAUCUUCAUACUGUUUGAUAAUAUCUUGAUUUUCCUGUGUUGACAUCUAUUGGAGAAAUAGCUUAUACUAGUUACAAACCCCACCAAAUCUGAUUAUCUUAUGACUUGCUAUCAUUCCUCACAAAUAUAUUAUUGUCUUUCUGA